Long non-coding RNA from Planococcus citri (citrus mealybug), 1813 nucleotides. RefSeq lists it as uncharacterized. Lineage: Eukaryota; Metazoa; Arthropoda; Insecta; Hemiptera; Pseudococcidae. The transcript is spliced from 2 exons. The record is from RefSeq and is a predicted model, not a curated record.
UACAAAGAUCUUUUAGCUAAUUGGAAAAAUGUUUUUAAACUUGUUUUCUCGAUUUUGAAUUUCAAAAAUUAAAUUUUUUUUAAAAAAACUUUAGAUAACAUUUUUACGAGUAUUUUCUGGAAUUUUUCUCAAUUCUAUUGAAAAGUUGCCAAUCAAUAAACAUUAUUUUCAAUCGUUGAUUUUCAUAAGAAAAUUCCAAAACUUACCUCAUUAGUUAUUAUACUGAAACUCGUUUUUUUAAUCUUUUCUCGAAAAAAGUCACGAUCACAACAAGUGGUACUUUUUUGACUGAUUCAUCGCAUUUUGCGUCGAAAAAUCAUUACGAAUACAGCAUUUUUUGAACAAAAUUACCAAAAUUGAAAGAAAAUAACGAACGAAUAAAAAAAUUUCUUGUUAAACAUUCAUACUUUCAGAGAUAAUUAAGUAUUGAUUAUGUAUUCUUGAAACUUGAAACAUCAUGACUUCAUGAGAAAUAAGUCAAUUAGGUACCGUUUAGUUUUAAGAAUUCAGAAUAAAAUGAUAUGGUAGGUAUAUGUGUAAUGGAAGUUAUCUGCUGCCAGUGGACACGUCAGAAAAUAUUUCAUUUCCCGAACAUACCGAACGUAGAAUGAAUACUGAGGAGGAAGUGUACAUAAAUAUGUAGAUAUUUUUGAAAAAUAUGAUGAAUUUUUAUUGAAAAAAUGUCGAGAAAUUUAAAACGUUUUUUGAAGUAUCUUUUUUUGACAUAAUAACAAAUUUAAAAAUAAACGGAAGAGUCAAAAAUGAAAUGAAAUAAAACUUGAACCAAAAUAUGUACACUUAAUUUAAUGCUUCUGAAAAAAAUCAACAGCGUCAAGUAUAUUUUUUCUGACACGUUAAAUUUUUUAAAAAGAGCUGUAAUUUGAAAUGUAAAAAAAUUCUGAGUAAUUUUGACAAUUUAAAAAAAACAGAAGGAACAUUACAUUGUGAGAAAAUAGGUCUGAUUUGGAUACCUUUCGUUAUCAGCAAGGGUGAUGAAAUCGAUUCAUUUCGUGUGCCCCAGAUUUAUUUUUUGUAUUUAUUGUUUAUCUCGAGUUUAUUUGUUAACGAAAGAAUUUAAUUUUAAAACAUAUAUGUACCUAGGUCUAGGUAGUAGGUAUAUUAUAAUUCACUAGCUAGGUACUCAAAAUCGUUCAAAACCGUUUCCAACCAAAAAAUUCGAAAAAUUUGAAAAAACAAUAGGUUUGGUACCUACCUACCUAGUACCUACCUAUUGUUAUAAUUCAUUAAUCAUUAGUUGUUUUGAAAUUCGGUCCUUUGAACAGCACGAACCAUGAACAUAUCAGAGUAAUAAAUUUGUCAAAAUCUGAAGCUUUGAAGUAUUUGUCGGUAUAACAAUAACACAGAACCCUAAGUAUAUAAAUACUUUACAAAUAUAGUUUCAACAAUAAUACGGUUUAGUGCAUUUAACGUUAAAUUGUUGUACUUUCUUGAAAAAAAUAGAAAUGGAAUCCCAUUAUUUAAUAAGCAUUGCAGUUAUGAUGGUUAUCGUGAUCUGUCAGAUAGGAACAACGUUCGAUAAAGUACUUGGCGGAGGAGGCGGUAAAAAAUGAUUUAACUCGAAUAAAUGAAGUAAUUUCAAACCAAGCACGCAAAUUAUUCCAACUACAAAAUAUGAUCACCAAACGUAUAAAAUUAUUCAAAAUUCACGUUCAACUCAUUCAAGGCAGUGAUGACUUCAAAAUUUUAAGGUAUCGAUUUCAGUAAUAAUGAAUAACAUAUCUUACCCACCUUUUGUUGCGAUAAAACGUAAUAUGUAUCCUUAUUCACAUAAUACAGUAAAUUCAGCAUUUUA